UCUCCCUAUCAGCAAGAGCUGACCCGAUUACGACUGGAGCGCCUUCAUGUGGAGGAGGAGUUACUGCUGGAGCUCAAAAGACAGCAAGAGUUGGAACGUACACGAGGACCAAAGCCUAAGUGGUAUGAGAUGAAAGGCUCACAGUUCCAUUACGAAGCACGCAA
Long non-coding RNA from Nanorana parkeri, 164 nucleotides. RefSeq lists it as uncharacterized. NCBI's taxonomy places the organism in Eukaryota, Metazoa, Chordata, Amphibia, Anura, Dicroglossidae. The record is from RefSeq and is a predicted model, not a curated record. The transcript is spliced from 2 exons.